AUCCCUGUGGCUCAGUUGGUAGAGCAGGGUGUUUGCAACGCCAGCAUGGUGUGUGCAACGCCAGGGUUGUGGGUUCAAUUCCCACAGGGGGCC
Molecule: non-coding RNA, 93 nt
Organism: Salmo salar (Atlantic salmon)
Lineage: Eukaryota; Metazoa; Chordata; Actinopteri; Salmoniformes; Salmonidae
Source: Rfam